RNAcentral lists this small RNA (466 nucleotides) under Pan troglodytes (chimpanzee). RNAcentral describes it as "processed transcript". The record is from RNAcentral. Lineage: Eukaryota; Metazoa; Chordata; Mammalia; Primates; Hominidae.
CAUCCCUAGCGUAUCUGUGAGGUCUAUAGCCGGAACCCCGCCAACCUACUGGAAGAGCAGAUCGAAGGUGCCCGGCGGCGAGUCACUCAGUUACAGCUGAAGAUCCAGCAGGAGACUGGUGGCUCAGUGGACAUACUUCCACUAUAUGGUGACACCAGCCAGAGACCAUCAGAAGGCCGGCUCUCUCUGGAUUCCCAGGAGGGGGACAGUGGCUUGGACUCUGGGACAGAACGCUUUCCUUCCCUCAGUGAGUCAUUGAUGAAUCGGAACUCGGUACUGUCAGACCCUGGGCUAGACAGUCCUCGAACCUCCCCUGUGAUCAUGGCCAGGGUGGCCCAGCACCACAGGCGGCAGGGCUCGGAUGCAGCAGUCCCCUCAACCGGUGACCAGGUGAGUGAUCUGGAGCCACCCUGCAGUUUUCCUUUUCUCAGAAGUGAGAUUUGGAGGCAUGGGUGUUACCAAUACA